RNAcentral lists this ribosomal RNA (404 nucleotides) under uncultured bacterium. Its description in RNAcentral is "bacterial SSU rRNA". It matches the Rfam family "Bacterial small subunit ribosomal RNA", at positions 355 to 776 of the family's 1533-position model. The record is from RNAcentral.
UGGGGAAUAUUGGGCAAUGGACGAAAGUCUGACCCAGCCAUGCCGCGUGAAUGAUGAAGGCCUUAGGGUUGUAAAGUUCUUUCGCCGAUGAAGAUAAUGACGGUAGUCGGAGAAGAAGCCCCGGCUAACUUCGUGCCAGCAGCCGCGGUAAUACGAAGGGGGCUAGCGUUGUUCGGAAUUACUGGGCGUAAAGCGAGCGUAGGUUGCUCGACAAGUCAGUGGUGAAAGCCCAAGGCUCAACCUUGGAACUGCCAUUGAAACUGUCGAGCUGGAAUCUUAGAGGGGGUAGCGGAAUUCCAAAUGUAGGGGUGAAAUCCGUAGAUAUUUGGAGGAACACCGGUGGCGAAGGCGGCUACCUGGCUAAGUAUUGACACUGAGGCUCGAAAGCGUGGGGAUCAAACAGG